AUGGCACAACGCUUUUUGAUGAUGUUGGGACUUCCAUUGAUACCGAGAACCUUGUCAGUCCACUCGUUGGAGAAGAGCCCCUCUGGGUCGUACCUAUCUUUCACCCUAAGAAACUCAUGGACUUUUGGGUACUUCGUGAUGGCACCAUCGAAGGCGAAAUUGCGGCUCUUACCCCAGUGCGGGAUGCCGCCGUACUUAUGCAACGCCAGCUGCUCGAGCUCGUCCACUACAUCGGCAUGCGCACGCGGCAUGCCUUCGGUGUGGCUCCGGUAA
RNAcentral lists this ribosomal RNA (273 nucleotides) under Triticum aestivum (bread wheat). Its description in RNAcentral is "partial small subunit ribosomal RNA". The record is from RNAcentral. Lineage: Eukaryota; Viridiplantae; Streptophyta; Magnoliopsida; Poales; Poaceae.